ACCGUGAGGGAAAGGCGAAAAGAACCCCGGCGAGGGGAGUGAAAAAGAACCUGAAACCGUGUACGUACAAGCAGUGGGAGCACGCUUAGGCGUGUGACUGCGUACCUUUUGUAUAAUGGGUCAGCGACUUAUAUUCUGUAGCAAGGUUAACCGAAUAGGGGAGCCGAAGGGAAACCGAGUCUUAACUGGGCGUUAAGUUGCAGGGUAUAGACCCGAAACCCGGUGAUCUAGCCAUGGGCAGGUUGAAGGUUGGGUAACACUAACUGGAGGACCGAACCGACUAAUGUUGAAAAAUUAGCGGAUGACUUGUGGCUGGGGGUGAAAGGCCAAUCAAACCGGGAGAUAGCUGGUUCUCCCCGAAAGCUAUUUAGGUAGCGCCUCGUGAAUUCAUCUCCGGGGGUAGAGCACUGUUUCGGCAAGGGGGUCAUCCCGACUUACCAACCCGAUGCAAACUGCGAAUACCGGAGAAUGUUAUCACGGGAGACACACGGCGGGUGCUAACGUCCGUCGUGAAGAGGGAAACAACCCAGACCGCCAGCUAAGGUCCCAAAGUCAUGGUUAAGUGGGAAACGAUGUGGGAAGGCCCAGACAGCCAGGAUGUUGGCUUAGAAGCAGCCAUCAUUUAAAGAAAGCGUAAUAGCUCACUGGUCGAGUCGGCCUGCGCGGAAGAUGUAACGGGGCUAAACCAUGCACCGAAGCUGCGGCAGCGACGCUGAUGCGUUGUUGGGUAGGGGAGCGUUCUGUAAGCCUGUGAAGGUGUGCUGUGAGGCAUGCUGGAGGUAUCAGAAGUGCGAAUGCUGACAUAAGUAACGAUAAAGCGGGUGAAAAGCCCGCUCGCCGGAAGACCAAGGGUUCCUGUCCAACGUUAAUCGGGGCAGGGUGAGUCGACCCCUAAGGCGAGGCCGAAAGGCGUAGUCGAUGGGAAACAGGUUAAUAUUCCUGUACUUGGUGUUACUGCGAAGGGGGGACGGAGAAGGCUAUGUUGGCCGGGCGACGGUUGUCCCGGUUUAAGCGUGUAGGCUGGUUUUCCAGGCAAAUCCGGAAAAUCAAGGCUGAGGCGUGAUGACGAGGCACUACGGUGCUGAAGCAACAAAUGCCCUGCUUCCAGGAAAAGCCUCUAAGCAUCAGGUAACAUCAAAUCGUACCCCAAACCGACACAGGUGGUCAGGUAGAGAAUACCAAGGCGCUUGAGAGAACUCGGGUGAAGGAACUAGGCAAAAUGGUGCCGUAACUUCGGGAGAAGGCACGCUGAUAUGUAGGUGAAGCGACUUGCUCGUGGAGCUGAAAUCAGUCGAAGAUACCAGCUGGCUGCAACUGUUUAUUAAAAACACAGCACUGUGCAAACACGAAAGUGGACGUAUACGGUGUGACGCCUGCCCGGUGCCGGAAGGUUAAUUGAUGGGGUCAGCGCAAGCGAAGCUCUUGAUCGAAGCCCCGGUAAACGGCGGCCGUAACUAUAACGGUCCUAAGGUAGCGAAAUUCCUUGUCGGGUAAGUUCCGACCUGCACGAAUGGCGUAAUGAUGGCCAGGCUGUCUCCACCCGAGACUCAGUGAAAUUGAACUCGCUGUGAAGAUGCAGUGUACCCGCGGCAAGACGGAAAGACCCCGUGAACCUUUACUAUAGCUUGACACUGAACAUUGAGCCUUGAUGUGUAGGAUAGGUGGGAGGCUUUGAAGUGUGGACGCCAGUCUGCAUGGAGCCGGCCUUGAAAUACCACCCUUUAAUGUUUGAUGUUCUAACGUUGACCCGUGAUCCGGGUUGCGGACAGUGUCUGGUGGGUAGUUUGACUGGGGCGGUCUCCUCCUAAAGAGUAACGGAGGAGCACGAAGGUUGGCUAAUCCUGGUCGGACAUCAGGAGGUUAGUGCAAUGGCAUAAGCCAGCUUGACUGCGAGCGUGACGGCGCGAGCAGGUGCGAAAGCAGGUCAUAGUGAUCCGGUGGUUCUGAAUGGAAGGGCCAUCGCUCAACGGAUAAAAGGUACUCCGGGGAUAACAGGCUGAUACCGCCCAAGAGUUCAUAUCGACGGCGGUGUUUGGCACCUCGAUGUCGGCUCAUCACAUCCUGGGGCUGAAGUAGGUCCCAAGGGUAUGGCUGUUCGCCAUUUAAAGUGGUACGCGAGCUGGGUUUAGAACGUCGUGAGACAGUUCGGUCCCUA
RNAcentral lists this ribosomal RNA (2155 nucleotides) under Escherichia coli. Its description in RNAcentral is "partial 23S ribosomal RNA". It matches the Rfam family "Bacterial large subunit ribosomal RNA", at positions 500 to 2640 of the family's 2925-position model. The record is from RNAcentral. Lineage: Bacteria; Pseudomonadati; Pseudomonadota; Gammaproteobacteria; Enterobacterales; Enterobacteriaceae.